GGAAGUGCUAGCCACAGCGACUUCAGAGUCUUGCUCUGUCACCUACACUGGAAUUCAGUGGCACAGUCUCAGCUCAGCUCACUGCAACCUCCACCUCCCGGGUUCAAGUGAUUCUCAUACCUCAGCCUCCUGAGUAGCUGGGAUUACAGGAAAAAAAGUCCUUGGGAAUUGAGAAGCCAAUGAGAUUAGUCGUUCAAGCUGAAGUCAUUCUAUCUGCUAGCUGUCUGGAGCCACUGAAGCUGUGGGCGAACAGCAACAAGUUUAAGCUACAUCUGCACACUCUGCGGUCCAUCCAGAGACCAAGAAAGAAG
RNAcentral lists this long non-coding RNA (311 nucleotides) under Homo sapiens (human). RNAcentral describes it as "HSALNT0329861". Lineage: Eukaryota; Metazoa; Chordata; Mammalia; Primates; Hominidae. The record is from RNAcentral.